RNAcentral lists this ribosomal RNA (468 nucleotides) under uncultured bacterium. RNAcentral describes it as "partial 16S ribosomal RNA". It matches the Rfam family "Bacterial small subunit ribosomal RNA", at positions 28 to 507 of the family's 1533-position model. The record is from RNAcentral.
GACGAACGCUGGCGGCGUGCUUAACACAUGCAAGUCGAACGGAAAGGCACUGCGUGUGUGCGGUGCUCGAGGGGCGAACGGGGGAGGAACACGUAUGUAACCUGCCCUUGUCUUUGGGAGAACUUAAGGAAACGGGGGCUAAGACAGUAUAGGAUCUCCUGUUGCGGGGUGGGCGGGGGAAAGUUGCGGCGGUUGGGGCUGGACUCGCGGCUGAUGAGCUAGUUGGUUGGGUAGUGGCUUCCCAAGUCUUUGACGGGUAGCCGGCCGGAGAGGGUGGCCGGGCACAAUGCGCCUGCGGUACGGCCCAGACUGCAACGGUAGGCAGCAGUGGGGAGUCUUGCACAAUGAGCGCGCGUCGGAUGCGGCAGCCCCGCGGGCGUGAUGCCGGCUUUCGGGUUGUGAACCGCUUCCGCCUGUGACGAAGCGUGAGUGACGGUAAUGGGUAAAGAAGCACCGGCUAACUACGUG